RNAcentral lists this transfer RNA (72 nucleotides) under Ovis aries (sheep). It matches the Rfam family "tRNA". From Rfam's summary of the family: Transfer RNA (tRNA) molecules are approximately 80 nucleotides in length. Lineage: Eukaryota; Metazoa; Chordata; Mammalia; Artiodactyla; Bovidae. The record is from Rfam by way of RNAcentral.
UCCCUCAUAGCUCAGUUGGUAAAUCAUCUGCCUGCAAUGCAGGAGAUCUGGGUUCGAUUCCUGGGUUGGGAA